RNAcentral lists this transfer RNA (77 nucleotides) under Alphaproteobacteria bacterium. RNAcentral's name for it is "tRNA-Arg". It matches the Rfam family "tRNA". Rfam says of the family: Transfer RNA (tRNA) molecules are approximately 80 nucleotides in length. Their secondary structure includes four short double-helical elements and three loops (D, anti-codon, and T loops). The record is from RNAcentral. RNAcentral also lists the same sequence under 5 other names. Lineage: Bacteria; Pseudomonadati; Pseudomonadota; Alphaproteobacteria.
GACCCCAUAGCUCAGCAGGAUAGAGCGGCGGUUUCCUAAACCGUAGGCCGGAAGUUCGAGUCUUCCUGGGGUCGCCA